GCUUUACUGUAUCUUGGAAUUGAAUUUGGGUUUAUUUUGCGCAGUAUAGGUGGGAGGCUAAGACUGUUUAUUUGUGGAUAUUCACGAGCCAAUAGUGAGAUACCACUCUAAUUAAACUAGAAUUCUAACUUUGAUGUCGUUAUCCGGCCAAAGAACAGUUUCAGGUGGGCAGUUUGACUGGGGCGGUCGCCUCCUAAAAGGUAACGGAGGCGUGCAAAGGUUUCUUCAGGCUGGUUGGAAAUCAGUCGUAGAGUGUAAAGGCAUAAAGAAGCUUGACUGCAAGACCUACAAGUCGAGCAGAGACGAAAGUCGGCCUUAGUGAUCCGACAGUACUGAGUGGAAAGGCUGUCGCUCAACGGAUAAAAGUUA
Molecule: ribosomal RNA, 369 nt
Filed under: Ceramium sp. 2 DWF-2013
Lineage: Eukaryota; Rhodophyta; Florideophyceae; Ceramiales; Ceramiaceae
Also listed under: 1 other name
Description: bacterial LSU rRNA
Rfam family: Bacterial large subunit ribosomal RNA
Source: RNAcentral